CUAUAGCGUAUAUUAAAGUUGUUGCGGUUAAAAAGCUCGUAGUUGGAUUUCUGCCGAGGACGACCGGUCCGCCCUCUGGGUGAGCAUCUGGGACGGCCUGGGCAUCCUCUUGGGGAACGUAGCUGCACUUGACUGUGUGGUGCGGUAUCCAGGACUUUUACUUUGAGGAAAUUAGAGUGUUUCAAGCAGGCGCACGCCUUGAAUACAUUAGCAUGGAAUAAUAAGAUAGGACCUCGGUUCUAUUUUGUUGGUUUCUAGAGCUGAGGUAAUGAUUAAUAGGGAUAGUUGGGGGCGAUUCGUAUUUAACUGUCAGAGGUGAAAUUCUUGGAUUUGUUGAAGACGGACUACUGCGAAAGCAUCUGCCAAAGAUUGUUCUCAUUGAUCAAAGAACGGAAAGUUAGGUGAUCGAAGACGAUUAGAUACCAU
RNAcentral lists this ribosomal RNA (426 nucleotides) under uncultured eukaryote. RNAcentral's name for it is "SSU rRNA". It matches the Rfam family "Eukaryotic small subunit ribosomal RNA", at positions 592 to 1018 of the family's 1831-position model. The record is from RNAcentral.